CCUACGGGUGGCAGCAGUGGGGAAUAUUGGACAAUGGGCGAAAGCCUGAUCCAGCCAUGCCGCGUGUGUGAAGAAGGCCUUCGGGUUGUAAAGCACUUUCAGUGGGGAAGAAAGCCUUGGGGCUAAUACCCUCGAGGAAGGACAUCACCCACAGAAGAAGCACCGGCUAACUCCGUGCCAGCAGCCGCGGUAAUACGGAGGGUGCGAGCGUUAAUCGGAAUUACUGGGCGUAAAGCGCGCGUAGGCGGUCUGAUAAGCCGGUUGUGAAAGCCCCGGGCUCAACCUGGGAACGGCAUCCGGAACUGUCAGGCUAGAGUGCAGGAGAGGAAGGUAGAAUUCCCGGUGUAGCGGUGAAAUGCGUAGAGAUCGGGAGGAAUACCAGUGGCGAAGGCGGCCUUCUGGACUGACACUGAGGCUGAGGUGCGAAAGCGUGGGUAGCAAACAGGAUUAGAUACCCUGGUAGUC
This 465-nucleotide ribosomal RNA is filed under the name Vreelandella stevensii. RNAcentral's name for it is "partial 16S ribosomal RNA". It matches the Rfam family "Bacterial small subunit ribosomal RNA", at positions 338 to 795 of the family's 1533-position model. Lineage: Bacteria; Pseudomonadati; Pseudomonadota; Gammaproteobacteria; Oceanospirillales; Halomonadaceae. The record is from RNAcentral.